This 757-nucleotide ribosomal RNA is filed under the name uncultured bacterium. RNAcentral's name for it is "bacterial SSU rRNA". It matches the Rfam family "Bacterial small subunit ribosomal RNA", at positions 8 to 796 of the family's 1533-position model. The record is from RNAcentral.
AGAGUUUGAUCCUGGCUCAGAAUGAACGUUGGCGGCGUGGAUUAGGCAUGCAAGUCGGACGGGCCGCAAGGCCAGUGGCGCAAGGGUGAGUAAGGCGAAGGUAACCAACCCCGAGGGUGGGCAUAGCCGGGGGAAACUCCGGGUAAUUCCCAGCGACAUGACGACCCGGCAUCGGGAUGUCAUCAAAGAUUUAUCGCCUCGGGACGGGCCUUCGUGGUAUUAGGUUGUUGGCGGGGUGACGGCCCACCAAGCCUGCGAUGCCUACCGGGCGUGCGAGCGUGGCCCGGCACACUGGGACUGAGACACUGCCCAGACUCCUACGGGAGGCUGCAGUCGAGAAUCUUCGGCAAUGGGCGCAAGCCUGCCGAGCGACGCCGCGUGGAGGAUGAAGGCUCGGGUUGUAAACUCCUGUCGAGGGGGAGGAAGGGCAAGCUUGCCGAUCCCUGGAGGAAGCACGGGCUAAGUUCGUGCCAGCAGCCGCGGUAAGACGAACCGUGCGAACGUUAUUCGGAAUCACUGGGCUUAAAGCGCGUGUAGGCGGNNCGCCACGUCGGCUGCUGAAAUCCCCCGGCUCAACCGGGGAACGGGCACCGAUACGAGCGGCCUCGAGGGGGGUAGGGGGACCUGGAACUUCCGGUGGAGCGGUGAAAUGCGUUGAGAUCGGAAGGAACGCCCGUGGCGAAAGCGAGGUCCUGGCCCUUUCUGACGCUGAGCCGAAAGCCAGGGGAGCGANNGGGAUUAGAUACCCNNGUAGUCC